RNAcentral lists this ribosomal RNA (251 nucleotides) under uncultured prokaryote. Its description in RNAcentral is "partial 16S rRNA". It matches the Rfam family "Bacterial small subunit ribosomal RNA", at positions 525 to 775 of the family's 1533-position model. The record is from RNAcentral.
ACGUAUGGGGCAAGCGUUGUUCGGAAUUAUUGGGCGUAAAGGGCGUCUAGGCGGGGGAUUAAGUUAGAUGUGAAAGCUAUGGGCUCAACCCAUAAACUGCAUCUAAGACUGGUUCUCUUGAGUCCGGGAGAGGAGAGCGGAAUUCCAGGUGUAGCGGGUAAAUGCGUAGGUACCUGGGAGGACGCCAGUGGCGAAGGGGAGUCUCUAGCAUAGGCCUGACGUGGAAGCCGGCAAGCGUGGGGAGCGAACAG